ACGGAGCUGUUGGAGCGAGUCCAGAGGAGGCCAUGGAGAUGAUCCGAGGGCUGGAGCACCUCCCAUACAAGGAGAGACCGAGAGUUGGGGUUGUUCAGCCUGGAGAAGAGAAGGCUCUGGGGAGGCUUUAGAGCAGCUUCUGUUUACGAGCAGUACAUCAAUGAGGGAGCUGAGCUUCCAUCAUUAGUGCGUGUGACAACAGUUGGAUCGUUACAGCCAUGUCAUCAUGGCACAUCUUUACAGAGGAGAAGCUCUCGUCCUGCCUGCCUGAGAAGAGCUGUGUGCUAUAACACGGACAGAAGAUUUUAAGCUCAGCAUUGAGAUGCUGCAGCAAAAGUAAGUACAAUCUGAUGUUUGGAGUGUGAAGCAGAAACUUUUUUAUUUAGUGUUUGGAAAGACCUGCUCAUCAAACAAGGGUUUGCCAGUAAGCUGUGUAGGCAGAAGGAAUGUGUUUGGUUAAUGGUCCUGCUAAGAGCAAACUAAACCACAGUAUGAUUUUUGAAGGGCCAGUUGUUCUGAUGGAGUUUGCCCUGAGUUCUUUGUUUACCUUAGGGCUGUAGACAAACCUGAGGCUGGGGAUGUGGAUGGCCGACUCUUCUGAAUGUGGAGUAAAUAAUGCUGGGUUCAUGCUGUUCUCGAGGGGACUCGGUCCUCCCUGUGUCCUUGGGGUCUGCGUGUGGUGUCCUGUGUGUGCCUGGUACAACAGCAGUGUUCGCAAGUGGCACAGACCACACUAUUUUCAGUAAUCUUAAAAGUCAUCAGAUAAAAAAAAGACUAUUAUGUCUAUUAUUUUUUUUCUGGUUAAAACACGUAAAGAACCCCUGAAAGACUACUACAAUGGAUUGAUAAAUAAACUGCACUUGAAACACAUCGAGAUCUGUACACCGUGGCAGGAAGCUGAGGAUUAUCUGCUUUUGCUUGGUAAAUAGUGGAUUAUGAGGUGGGCUUGAGAAUGUGUGAAAAACCACUUAGCAAAGGCGGAGAGAGCUGCUGCAGGUCUGACAUAGGAGCUGGUAGAACACAGGAAGGUAAUGAAGGUGCUGAUUAGUGACAGCUUCAUGUGUGCUGUGCCUGGGUUUGAUCAUGCCACCAAAACUGCUCAAUUUUCCUAACUACCGCUUUUCACUGCUCUCCUGAGAAGUAAGAGUAGUGCCUGCAUGGCUGUUUCAGCCUGUUCUUUGUACUCUUAAUUUCUUCUAACUGUGUGGAAAUACAGCGUGCCUGUGCAUCUUCCAGUGCACUGUCAGGGUCACCAGUAAAUGAAAUCAUGAAAGUUUUGGCUGAGCAACCAAAAAUAGCUGAAAUCUAAAUUAACAAGCCCUUGGAGUAGUGUUCCCUCAGCGUGUUCACUGGAUUAGCAUAAAGUGUCAGUAAGCUUAAUAAAGUAGUAAAAUACAUAUUCAUCUUGAUGUACGCUCAGCAGGUUUUGAGAUGCCAUACAGUUGGAAAACACUGUCUGUGCUUGGUUAUUUUCAACUUGUGAAGAUAAUGUCUAUAAAAUCACACUGAUUUCUCUGCUUUGAACUCACUUGAGCUGGAGGUGGCCGCUAGCGAGCCCUGUGGCUUAUCCUGCCUAGAUCUUACGGAGUUUUCCUGUGUGCUUAACCAAUUCUAGCAGAUUCAGAGGCAGAAAGGCUCUUCUAAGAUAUGUGCAAUGUUUAAAAUUCCCUUUCAUUGAAUUUGCCCUCACCUGGUGUGUUUCUAAAGCCAGACUGACCAGAAACAAAGCAUAUUGUACUUUUUUCCCCCGCGAGUGCUUGAAAUUAUGUCAGUCUGGAUGGUGCUGCAAGCAGCCGCUGUUCCACUCGCAUCACCCAAAGCAGAACAUCAGUAGAAAGGUUUGCAGUGAGACUGGAGGAGGUGUUUGCAGAGAGCUCGGCCUCCAUUCCGUUCUGUUUGCCUACCAGGCUCAGCAGACCUGGAGGUGUGUCUGCACAAGUCAUCCAGCGGCUUGGAUCUGCCCAUGAAGGUGGUGGAUAUGUUCGGCUGUUUACCUGUGUGCGCGAUAUAUUUUGCAUGGUAAAAGCUUGCUUGUUCUGAUGGAACUUAAGGGGGAUCACAUUAAAUAUCCUUACAAAGCAGUUCCACAUCUGCUGUGCGUAUCCAAUGAGAUCCUGCUGUUAUGCCAUAACAGUAUGGGGUUUUAAUUCAAUAAGAUAAAUUAGGAAUCAAGGUUGUUUUAUUUAAGAUCAGUUUAAAAAAAUUAACACUAGUUUCUACAAAGUUGGGAGUGUUUAAUGCAACCAGUUGCCUUAAAAACCGACCCCGUAAUCCUUUGUUUCGGUGAGGGUUGAGUGUGCAUGGUCACUCUGGCAAUUCACUGCCUCUUGGGGAAACAGCAGCCCUUAUAAAUGAAGAGACGCUGUCUGUGGACAUCUCGUGAGCUGGAUCCUGGGCUGGGAUAGUCUGACAGAGAGGGGAGAAACAGUCUUAACAUGUAAAAGCUUUACUUUCUUUGUCAGGCCUGGAGCUCGUCUCUCCCCAUCCAGGAUCCCUGGGCUGCAGAUGCCCUCUUGCAGUCCCUCCAGAGGUCACCACACGACUCCUAAACAUGUUCUGUCCCACUCACUGCUUUCUGUCUCAUGCUUUCUUCCAUGGCUUCUCUUCACAGCUUACAUGAACUUGUGAAGCACAAUGAAAAUGAUCUGAUAUUCUGGGACUGGAAUGAACUUACGGAACAACUGAAGAUGCUUUUCUUGGGAUUCCCUACACUGGAAGGGAAACUUCACAGCUUCAGGGAAAACCUCUGUACAUCCAAGCAGCUGCGCUGGGAUGAGAGUUGGGACCAGACUGUUCUUCCUUUGUUCAGGCAGAAUGACUGACUGUGGAGGAGGAGGGAGUCAGAAAAGCAGAUUCAUUCCUGGAGAUGCAUGGAUUUGAUAAAUAGCAAAUAAACGCUUUGUAUUGUCUGCAUUUGCAGUUUUUAACUACUUCACCUUGGGAAAAUGGUUUGGACACAGCUUUUCCUUUACAAUUGGAGCUUGAUGUGUAAGUAAGAACAGGGCUGAAGGUGCAGCCAUGAUGGUUUGUUGUGUGCCAGUGGUGGAAGUCCUGCUGGAAGGCAUAAUUCCCGUGCAGGAGAGCUUGUGCCUUGCCUUCUGGCCUGCCUUACCUUCCAUAUCACUUGUGGUGAACCUGUGGGAAGCGGGAAGGAAGUGGAGUUCCUCGAGGAACUUGUGUGAACACGAUCUGUUACCUGUGCUGCUAAAAGGUUCCUUUUUGGUGAAUGUACUCAUAUCCAUUUCUCAGCUGUUGCCAGCUGGACCCGCUGUGCAGGAGGUGAUUGGGGUAUUUUUUUCUUGCAACUGAGAGGUACCUUUUAUCAGAGUUAUUGUACAGGGUACAGCAGGAUUUGUUUUGUGAACCAGUUAAUACUCUUGGCUUACCUUCCUUAGAGGUGUACUUUUCUAAGUGUACUCUGGUGUGAUUUUAUCAAGAUGGAAACAUUCAACUUCAGAGUUGUUUUCCUUUUUCCAGUCUGUGCACGA
Long non-coding RNA from Cuculus canorus (common cuckoo), 3488 nucleotides. RefSeq lists it as uncharacterized. Lineage: Eukaryota; Metazoa; Chordata; Aves; Cuculiformes; Cuculidae. The record is from RefSeq and is a predicted model, not a curated record. The transcript is spliced from 4 exons.